RNAcentral lists this ribosomal RNA (676 nucleotides) under Salmonella enterica subsp. enterica serovar Hvittingfoss. RNAcentral describes it as "partial 23S ribosomal RNA". It matches the Rfam family "Bacterial large subunit ribosomal RNA", at positions 2150 to 2824 of the family's 2925-position model. Lineage: Bacteria; Pseudomonadati; Pseudomonadota; Gammaproteobacteria; Enterobacterales; Enterobacteriaceae. The record is from RNAcentral.
GGAGGCUUUGAAGUGUGGACGCCAGUCUGCAUGGAGCCGACCUUGAAAUACCACCCUUUAAUGUUUGAUGUUCUAACGUGGACCCGUGAUCCGGGUUGCGGACAGUGUCUGGUGGGUAGUUUGACUGGGGCGGUCUCCUCCUAAAGAGUAACGGAGGAGCACGAAGGUUGGCUAAUCCUGGUCGGACAUCAGGAGGUUAGUGCAAUGGCAUAAGCCAGCUUGACUGCGAGCGUGACGGCGCGAGCAGGUGCGAAAGCAGGUCAUAGUGAUCCGGUGGUUCUGAAUGGAAGGGCCAUCGCUCAACGGAUAAAAGGUACUCCGGGGAUAACAGGCUGAUACCGCCCAAGAGUUCAUAUCGACGGCGGUGUUUGGCACCUCGAUGUCGGCUCAUCACAUCCUGGGGCUGAAGUAGGUCCCAAGGGUAUGGCUGUUCGCCAUUUAAAGUGGUACGCGAGCUGGGUUUAGAACGUCGUGAGACAGUUCGGUCCCUAUCUGCCGUGGGCGCUGGAGAACUGAGGGGGGCUGCUCCUAGUACGAGAGGACCGGAGUGGACGCAUCACUGGUGUUCGGGUUGUCAUGCCAAUGGCACUGCCCGGUAGCUAAAUGCGGAAGAGAUAAGUGCUGAAAGCAUCUAAGCACGAAACUUGCCCCGAGAUGAGUUCUCCCUGAGACUUUA